This 253-nucleotide ribosomal RNA is filed under the name uncultured bacterium. RNAcentral describes it as "partial 16S ribosomal RNA". It matches the Rfam family "Bacterial small subunit ribosomal RNA", at positions 524 to 776 of the family's 1533-position model. The record is from RNAcentral.
UACGAAGGGUGCAACCGUUGCUCGGAUUUAUUGGGCGUAAAGAGCGUGUAGGCGGCCAUACAGGUCCGUUGUGAAAACUGGAGGCUUAACCUCCAGACGUCGAUGGAAACCGUAUGGCUAGAGUCCGGAAGAGGAGAGUGGAAUUCCUGGUGUAGCGGUGAAAUGCGCAGAUAUCAGGAAGAACACCCGUGGCGAAGGCGGCUCUCUGGGACGGUACUGACGCUGAGACGCGAAAGCGUGGGGAGCGAACAGG